Molecule: long non-coding RNA, 214 nt
Filed under: Elaeis guineensis (African oil palm)
Lineage: Eukaryota; Viridiplantae; Streptophyta; Magnoliopsida; Arecales; Arecaceae
Description: long non-coding RNA (EGUI_LNC014630)
Source: RNAcentral
AUCAGCACAGUAUGCUAGUACUGCGCUGAUCCUUCUUUGAUGGUUGAUCAGGUGCUUCCUUCUUCUUGAUUUGGACUCUUCCAAAGAUGGAAAGUAAAAGGAGGAGUUUCAGAUCUGAGACGCUCUCAGAAAACUCAAGAUGGAGGGAGGAAAGAUAUGAAAACAAAAAACCCUAGAAGAAGACCCUCUUCUUCUUCACGUUUUUCUCUCUAGA